CCUACGGGUGGCUGCAGUGGGGAAUAUUGGACAAUGGGGGGAACCCUGAUCCAGCCAUGCCGCGUGUGUGAAGAAGGCCCUCGGGUUGUAAAGCACUUUCAGUGAGGAAGAACGCCUGGUGGUUAAUACCCAUCAGGAAAGACAUCACUCACAGAAGAAGCACCGGCUAACUCCGUGCCAGCAGCCGCGGUAAUACGGAGGGUGCGAGCGUUAAUCGGAAUUACUGGGCGUAAAGCGCGCGUAGGUGGCUUGAUAAGCCGGUUGUGAAAGCCCCGGGCUCAACCUGGGAACGGCAUCCGGAACUGUCAAGCUAGAGUGCAGGAGAGGAAGGUAGAAUUCCCGGUGUAGCGGUGAAAUGCGUAGAGAUCGGGAGGAAUACCAGUGGCGAAGGCGGCCUUCUGGACUGACACUGACACUGAGGUGCGAAAGCGUGGGUUGCAAACAGGAUUAGAUACCCGGGUAGUC
RNAcentral lists this ribosomal RNA (465 nucleotides) under Vreelandella stevensii. RNAcentral describes it as "partial 16S ribosomal RNA". It matches the Rfam family "Bacterial small subunit ribosomal RNA", at positions 338 to 795 of the family's 1533-position model. Lineage: Bacteria; Pseudomonadati; Pseudomonadota; Gammaproteobacteria; Oceanospirillales; Halomonadaceae. The record is from RNAcentral.